Molecule: ribosomal RNA, 362 nt
Filed under: uncultured Anoxybacillus sp.
Lineage: Bacteria; Bacillati; Bacillota; Bacilli; Caryophanales; Anoxybacillaceae
Description: bacterial SSU rRNA
Rfam family: Bacterial small subunit ribosomal RNA
Source: RNAcentral
UUCGGGGGACAGGGUGACAGGUGGUGCAUGGUUGUCGUCAGCUCGUGUCGUGAGAUGUUGGGUUAAGUCCCGCAACGAGCGCAACCCUCGACCUUAGUUGCCGGCAUUCAGUUGGGCACUCUAAGGUGACUGCCGGCUAAAAGUCGGAGGAAGUGGGGAUGACGUCAAAUCAUCAUGCCCCUUAUGACCUGGGCUACACACGUGCUACAAUGGGCGGUACAAAGGGUCGCGAACCCGCGAGGGGGAGCCAAUCCCAAAAAGCCGCUCUCAGUUCGGAUUGCAGGCUGCAACUCGCCUGCAUGAAGCCGGAAUCGCUAGUAAUCGCGGAUCAGCAUGCCGCGGUGAAUACGUUCCCGGGCCUU